Molecule: ribosomal RNA, 253 nt
Filed under: uncultured bacterium
Lineage: Bacteria
Description: partial 16S ribosomal RNA
Rfam family: Bacterial small subunit ribosomal RNA
Source: RNAcentral
UACAGAGGGUGCGAGCGUUAAUCGGAAUUACUGGGCGUAAAGCGUGCGUAGACGGUUAUUUAAGUCGGAUGUGAAAGCCCCGGGCUCAACCUGGGAAUUGCAUUCGAGACUGAAUAGCUAGGGUGCGGUAGAGGGAAGCGGAAUUUCCGGUGUAGCGGUGAAAUGCGUAGAUAUCGGAAGGAACAUCAGUGGCGAAAGCGGCAUCCUGGGUCGGUAUUGACGCUGAGGAGCGGAAGCCAGGGGAGCAAACGGG